This 898-nucleotide ribosomal RNA is filed under the name uncultured bacterium. RNAcentral's name for it is "bacterial SSU rRNA". It matches the Rfam family "Bacterial small subunit ribosomal RNA", at positions 33 to 914 of the family's 1533-position model. The record is from RNAcentral.
ACGCUGGCGGCGUGCCUAAUACAUGCAAGUAGAACGCUGAAGGAGGAGCUUGCUUCUCCGGAUGAGUUGCGAACGGGUGAGUAACGCGUAGGUAACCUGCCUGGUAGCGGGGGAUAACUAUUGGAAACGAUAGCUAAUACCGCAUAAGAGUAGAUGUCGCAUGACAUUUGCUUAAAAGGUGCAAUUGCAUCACUACCAGAUGGACCUGCGUUGUAUUAGCUAGUUGGUGGGGUAACGGCUCACCAAGGCGACGAUACAUAGCCGACCUGAGAGGGUGAUCGGCCACACUGGGACUGAGACACGGCCCAGACUCCUACGGGAGGCAGCAGUAGGGAAUCUUCGGCAAUGGACGGAAGUCUGACCGAGCAACGCCGCGUGAGUGAAGAAGGUUUUCGGAUCGUAAAGCUCUGUUGUAAGAGAAGAACGAGUUUGAGAGUGGAAAGUUCACACUGUGACGGUAUCUUACCAGAAAGGGACGGCUAACUACGUGCCAGCAGCUGCGGUAAUACGUAGGUCCCGAGCGUUGUCCGGAUUUAUUGGGCGUAAAGCGAGCGCAGGCGGUUAGAUAAGUCUGAAGUUAAAGGCUGUGGCUUAACCAUAGUACGCUUUGGAAACUGUUUAACUUGAGUGCAAGAGGGGAGAGUGGAAUUCCAUGUGUAGCGGUGAAAUGCGUAGAUAUAUGGAGGAACACCGGUGGCGAAAGCGGCUCUCUGGCUUGUAACUGACGCUGAGGCUCGAAAGCGUGGGGAGCAAACAGGAUUAGAUACCCCUGGUAGUCCACGCCGUAAACGAUGAGUGCUAGGUGUUAGACCCUUUCCGGGGUUUAGUGCCGCAGCUAACGCAUUAAGCACUCCGCCUGGGGAGUACGACCGCAAGGUUGAAACUCAAAGGAAUUGAC